GUGCGAAUGCUGACAUGAGUAACGAUAAAGGGGGUGAAAAACCUCCUCGCCGGAAGACCAAGGGUUCCUGUCCAACGUUAAUCGGGGCAGGGUAAGUCGACCCCUAAGGCGAGGCCGAAAGGCGUAGUCGAUGGGAAACGGGUUAAUAUUCCCGUACUUCUUACAAUUGCGAUGGGGGGACGGAGAAGGCUAGGUGGGCCUGGCGACGGUUGUCCAGGUUCAAGUGCGUAGGCUUAAGAGUUAGGUAAAUCCGGCUCUUUUUAAGGCUGAGACACGACGUCGAGCUACUACGGUAGUGAAGUCAUUGAUGCCAUGCUUCCAGGAAAAGCCUCUAAGCUUCAGAUUGUAAGGAAUCGUACCCCAAACCGACACAGGUGGUCGGGUAGAGAAUACCAAGGCGCUUGAGAGAACUCGGGUGAAGGAACUAGGCAAAAUGGUACCGUAACUUCGGGAGAAGGUACGCUCUUGAUGGUGAAGUCCCUUGCGGAUGGAGCUGACGAGAGUCGCAGAUACCAGGUGGCUGCAACUG
RNAcentral lists this ribosomal RNA (529 nucleotides) under Vibrio parahaemolyticus. RNAcentral describes it as "partial 23S ribosomal RNA". It matches the Rfam family "Bacterial large subunit ribosomal RNA", at positions 1288 to 1802 of the family's 2925-position model. Lineage: Bacteria; Pseudomonadati; Pseudomonadota; Gammaproteobacteria; Vibrionales; Vibrionaceae. The record is from RNAcentral.